GCCUCCACUACAUCAAGGAUCACUUGGACACCAACAUUAAUGAUAACACCACAAACAGCAGCCAGUCAAUGAAGAGGACUUCUUUGGAUCCAUUAAGAACAAAACAUCCCAAAGAGGAGAACUGAAGAGACUACAACUUUCAGUCGAAUGUUUUUAGCGCUUUAGAGGAGGUCAAGGCGAUGGCCCUCAACAACAGCAUGGGAUGCUGAGUUGGACUCACCGGAGAAGCUUCUUCCAGCUAUAAACCUGCAACAGGUACUUCAAAACCAUCAAAGACAUCUUAGUAGACUGAAAACAUCACAUUGAGGAGGAUCGGAGAAACAUGGAAAUACAUUUUAGAUAGGUUCUAGCACAAACUUGUGGGGCUACAAAAACUUCCUGCAGAUUGGUUCACCGCAGAGUGCCCUGUGACAGAUGCAGCAAGAUGCAGCAGUAGGAGGCCUCCAACAGACAUCAACAUUUUA
Long non-coding RNA from Girardinichthys multiradiatus, 464 nucleotides. RefSeq lists it as uncharacterized. The transcript is spliced from 3 exons. Lineage: Eukaryota; Metazoa; Chordata; Actinopteri; Cyprinodontiformes; Goodeidae. The record is from RefSeq and is a predicted model, not a curated record.